AGUCGACGGAGAGUUUUGUAGUAAUACGAAGCUUCUCAGUGGCGAACGGGCGAGUAACGAGUUGGUGACCUGCCCCGAAGUGUGGGAUAACAGUCCGAAAGGAUUGCUAAUACCGCAUGUGAUCAUCGGAUUUAGAAACUGAUGAUUAAAGCAGUAAUGCGCUUCGGGAGGGACCUGCUUUCCAUCAGCUAGUUGGUGAGGUAACGGCCCACCAAGGCUACGACGGAUAAGGGACCUGAGAGGGUGGUCCCUCGCAAUGGCACUGAAACACGGGCCAUACACCUACGGGUGGCAGCAGUAGGGAAUAUUGGGCAAUGGGCGAAAGCCUGACCCAGCAACGCCGCGUGCACGAUGAAGGCCUUCGGGUCGUAAAGUGCUUUUAGAGAGGAUGAGGAAGGACAGUACUCUCUGAAUAAGCCUCGGCUAACUACGUGCCAGCAGCCGCGGUAAAACGUAGGAGGCGAGCGUUAUCCGGAUUUACUGGGCGUAAAGCGCGUGUAGGCGGUUUGAUAAGUUGGAUGUGAAAGCUCCUGGCUUAACUGGGAGAGGUCGUUCAAAACUGUCAGACUUGAGAGUGGUAGAGGGAGGUGGAAUUCCGGGUGUAGUGGUGAAAUGCGUAGAUAUCCGGAGGAACACCAGUGGCGAAAGCGG
Molecule: ribosomal RNA, 651 nt
Filed under: uncultured bacterium
Lineage: Bacteria
Description: bacterial SSU rRNA
Rfam family: Bacterial small subunit ribosomal RNA
Source: RNAcentral